GAUCUGGUUCAGGAUGAACGCUGGCGGCGUGCCUAAUACAUGCAAGUCGAGCGAGAAUCUGCGGAUCUGCGAUUCGUCAAGGAGAAGCGGAGGAAAGCGGCGGACGGGUGAGUAACGCGUAGGCAACCUGCCCUUAGCUGAGGGAUAGCCAUUGGAAACGAUGAUUAAAACCUCAUAAUGCCAAACAUACACAUGUGCGUUUGGCCAAAGAUUUAUCGGCUAGGGAUGGGCCUGCGUCUGAUUAACUGGUUGGUGAGGUAACGGCCCACCAAGGUGACGAUCAGUAGCCGACCUGAGAGGGUGAUCGGCCACAUUGGAACUGAGACACGGUCCAAACUUCUACGGAAGGCAGCAGUAAGGAAUCUUGCACAAUGGGGGAAACCCUGAUGCAGCAACGCCGCGUGAACGAUGAAGGCCUUAGGGUUGUAAAGUUCUGAUCUGGGGGAAGAAGAAAGUGACGGUACCCCAGGAGAAAGCCCCGGCUAAAUACGUGCCAGCCGCUGC
Molecule: ribosomal RNA, 504 nt
Filed under: uncultured bacterium
Lineage: Bacteria
Description: bacterial SSU rRNA
Rfam family: Bacterial small subunit ribosomal RNA
Source: RNAcentral